UGAGAUCCACAGGUAAACCUAUCUGAAAA
This 29-nucleotide non-coding RNA is filed under the name Mus musculus (house mouse). Lineage: Eukaryota; Metazoa; Chordata; Mammalia; Rodentia; Muridae. The record is from RNAcentral.